Molecule: ribosomal RNA, 498 nt
Filed under: uncultured bacterium
Lineage: Bacteria
Description: partial 16S ribosomal RNA
Rfam family: Bacterial small subunit ribosomal RNA
Source: RNAcentral
AUUGAACGCUGGCGGCAUGCCUUACACAUGCAAGUCGAACGGUAACAGGUCUUCGGAUGCUGACGAGUGGCGAACGGGUGAGUAAUACAUCGGAACGUGCCUAGUAGUGGGGGAUAACUACUCGAAAGAGUGGCUAAUACCGCACGAGAUCUACGGAUGAAAGCAGGGGAUCGCAAGACCUUGUGCUACUAGAGCGGCCGAUGGCAGAUUAGGUAGUUGGUGGGAUAAAAGCUUACCAAGCCGACGAUCUGUAGCUGGUCUGAGAGGACGAUCAGCCACACUGGGACUGAGACACGGCCCAGACCCCUACGGGAGGCAGCAGUGGGGAAUUUUGGACAGUGGGCGCAAGCCUGAUCCAGCAAUGCCGCGUGCAGGAUGAAGGCCUUCGGGUUGUAAACUGCUUUUGUACGGAACGAAAAGCCCUGGGUUAAUACCCUGGGGUCAUGACGGUACCGUAAGAAUAAGCACCGGCUAACUACGUGCCAGCAGCCGCAGUAA